This 253-nucleotide ribosomal RNA is filed under the name uncultured bacterium. Its description in RNAcentral is "partial 16S ribosomal RNA". It matches the Rfam family "Bacterial small subunit ribosomal RNA", at positions 524 to 776 of the family's 1533-position model. The record is from RNAcentral.
GACGUAGGGGGCCAGCGUUGCUCGGAAUUACUGGGCGUAAAGGGUUCGUAGGCGGUGUGGCAAGUCGGAAGUGAAAUCUCUAGGCUCAACCUAGAGGCUGCUCCCGAAACUGCCAUGCUAGAGUGCGGGAGAGGCGAGUGGAAUUACAGGUGUAGCGGUGAAAUGCGCAGAUAUCAGGAGGAACACCGGUGGCGAAGGCGGGUCUCUGGGCCGAUACUGACGCUGAGGAGCGAAAGCGUGGGGAGCGAACAGG